Molecule: long non-coding RNA, 90 nt
Organism: Empidonax traillii (willow flycatcher)
Lineage: Eukaryota; Metazoa; Chordata; Aves; Passeriformes; Tyrannidae
Exons: 3
Source: RefSeq, a predicted model, not a curated record
AGCCUGGAGUUUGCUCAUCCCAUCUGAUUCCUGUCCUCCUGUACUACUCACAGCGAUAAAGAACAGCCAAGAUGCAGAUUGGAAGAGCAC